Non-coding RNA from Ictidomys tridecemlineatus (thirteen-lined ground squirrel), 72 nucleotides. The record is from Rfam. NCBI's taxonomy places the organism in Eukaryota, Metazoa, Chordata, Mammalia, Rodentia, Sciuridae.
GGGGGUAUAGCUUAGUGGCAGAGCACUUUCCUAGUGUGGGUGAGGCCCUGGGUUCAAUUCCCAGUACUCCCC